MicroRNA precursor from Callithrix jacchus (white-tufted-ear marmoset), 97 nucleotides. Ensembl annotates it as cja-mir-130b. Its record names the gene cja-mir-130b. Lineage: Eukaryota; Metazoa; Chordata; Mammalia; Primates; Cebidae. The record is from Ensembl.
UGGCAGGCCUGCCUGAUACUCUUUCCCUGUUGCACUACUGUGGGCCACUGGAAAGCAGUGCAAUGAUGAAAGGGCAUCGGUCAGGUACCGCCUGCUA